Long non-coding RNA from Mya arenaria, 1068 nucleotides. RefSeq lists it as uncharacterized. The record is from RefSeq and is a predicted model, not a curated record. Lineage: Eukaryota; Metazoa; Mollusca; Bivalvia; Myida; Myidae. The transcript is spliced from 3 exons.
UUAUAGGCACUACUGAAUUUACAGUUUUUGAAUCCUGCUGGAAUUGACCUUACGACAGCGGCUUCUAAGACACGCCCCCUGAUAUCAAGGGAGCGAACUCUGUCUAUGUCCGUCAAACAAACGAGGAAGUAAUGGCGUCUCGCGUCGUUUCGCUUUCCGAUAUUCCUGACAAAUUAUCAUAAAUGUGACAUUACAAUGCGAAAAAAAAUAGAAGUCAAAGGAAUUUGUAACUGGCUGCUACAUCGGAAGGCUCGAUAUAUCUUUAGAAAAUGACGAUAUCUAACAUUUACGGGGUGAAAUCUAUCCAAGUCAGAGAAAAUCGGAUAGCCGCCAUGUUGUCAAUAUUGACAUCGAUAAAAAUGAAAAGCGUGUGUGUGACGCAUACUGUAAAUGCAAACAAGGAAAUUGUGGAACAUGUUCACACACUCUGGCUGUAAAAGUAGACCUGGGAGGAAAAGUGCCCCCGGUAUGACUCGAACUCACAACCACCAGAACACUAGCCCGGCACUCUAACCAACUAAGCUGACCGGGCAGCUGGUUCUAACCCACACACACUACCCUCCCCCCAUUUACCGGUUAAGGCUGGUGGAGGGUCUCCUGCUAUUUACCGUUGACACCAUUAAAGUAUUCUGAUUGAUGGAGAUAAGGAAGUCCCCUUAUUAUUGUCUUCAACAAGCCUACCGCCACAGGGGACCUAGCAUAAGACCGGAAACCGCCCCCCCCCCCCCCCCCACACACACAUGAUAUUUGCCAGUCCAGGCAAUGUCAACCACAAGAGAAAACCAGUGAUGACAAGUUUUACAAAUAAUCGGAAAGUGUGGUCUUUUGAAGAGAGUUCUUGAAGUUGUUCAGCAUGUUGUUUUGAUGGAUUCUUAGAAGGAUGUACCUCUAUGAUGUUAGCUUCAGUUCUGGAGUAUAACACCAGUUGUUGCAUAUUUAAUAUCAGAUUUAUUAAAUACAUUGUUGUUUUGCAAACAUUACUUAAACUUUGAUAUUUCUUUGGUGUUUAUGUAUGAUAUUGUAGGUGAAUAUCUCUUUAUUGCAAUGGCAAAUAUAUUUUAAAAUAUA